This 202-nucleotide ribosomal RNA is filed under the name uncultured bacterium. RNAcentral describes it as "partial 16S ribosomal RNA". It matches the Rfam family "Bacterial small subunit ribosomal RNA", at positions 328 to 538 of the family's 1533-position model. The record is from RNAcentral.
ACGCUCGACACCUACGGGAGGAGCAGUGGGGAAUAUUGCACAAUGGGGGAAACCCUGAUGCAGCGACGCCGCGUGAAGGAUGAAGUAUUUCGGUAUGUAAACUUCUAUCAGCAGGGAAGAAAAUGACGGUACCUGACUAAGAAGCCCCGGCUAACUACGUGCCAGCAGCCGACGGUAAUCUGAGGCGGGCGUGGACGAAGGC